Small nucleolar RNA from Dioscorea cayenensis subsp. rotundata (Guinea yam), 106 nucleotides. The record is from RefSeq and is a predicted model, not a curated record. Lineage: Eukaryota; Viridiplantae; Streptophyta; Magnoliopsida; Dioscoreales; Dioscoreaceae.
AACCCAUGUUGUGGACACUUCUGUAAGAGUCCUUAAAUUACUCCCAAGUCUCAAACAAGGAUUCAAGUUCCUUCUGAACAAAUGAAGAUAUCUCAUUGCGAAGCUU